This 467-nucleotide ribosomal RNA is filed under the name uncultured bacterium. Its description in RNAcentral is "partial 16S ribosomal RNA". It matches the Rfam family "Bacterial small subunit ribosomal RNA", at positions 28 to 506 of the family's 1533-position model. The record is from RNAcentral.
GACGAACGCUGGCGGCGUGCUUAACACAUGCAAGUCGAACGGAAAGGCCCUGCUUUUGUGGGGCGCUCGAGUGGCGAACGGGUGAGUAACACGUGAGUAAUCUGCCCUUGACUUUGGGAUAACUUCAGGAAACUGGGGCUAAUACCGGAUAGGAGCUCCUGCUGCAUGGUGGGGGUUGGAAAGUUUCGGCGGUUGGGGAUGGACUCGCGGCUUAUCAGCUUGUUGGUGGGGUAGUGGCUUACCAAGGCUUUGACGGGUAGCCGGCCUGAGAGGGUGACCGGCCACAUUGGGACUGAGAUACGGCCCAGACUCCUACGGGAGGCGGCAGUGGGGAAUAUUGCACAAUGGGCGGAAGCCUGAUGCAGCAACGCCGCGUGCGGGAUGACGGCCUUCGGGUUGUAAACCGCUUUCGCCUGUGACGAAGCGUGAGUGACGGUAAUGGGUAAAGAAGCACCGGCUAACUACGU